AUACGUAGGGUGCAAGCGUUAAUCGGAAUUACUGGGCGUAAAGCGUGCGCAGGCGGUUUUGUAAGAAAGUGGUGAAAUUCCCGGGCUCCACCUGGGAACUGCCAUUGUGACUGCAAGGCCGGAGUGCGGCCGAGGGGGAUGGAAUUCCGCGUGUAGCAGUGAAAUGCGUAGAUAUGCGGAGGAACACCGAUGGCGAAGGCACUCCCCUGGGCCUGCACUGACGCUCAUGCACGAAAGCGUGGGGAGCAAACAGGAUUAGAUACCCUGGUAGUCCACGCCCUAAACGAUGUCAACUGGUUGUUGGGGAUUUAUUUUCUCAGUAACGAAGCUAACGCGUGAAGUUGACCGCCUGGGGAGUACGGCCGCAAGGUUAAAACUUAAAGGAAUUGACGGGG
RNAcentral lists this ribosomal RNA (395 nucleotides) under uncultured bacterium. RNAcentral describes it as "partial 16S ribosomal RNA". It matches the Rfam family "Bacterial small subunit ribosomal RNA", at positions 523 to 918 of the family's 1533-position model. The record is from RNAcentral.